RNAcentral lists this ribosomal RNA (484 nucleotides) under uncultured bacterium. Its description in RNAcentral is "bacterial SSU rRNA". It matches the Rfam family "Bacterial small subunit ribosomal RNA", at positions 355 to 838 of the family's 1533-position model. The record is from RNAcentral.
UAGGGAAUAUUGGACAAUGGGUGCAAGCCUGAUCCAGCCAUGCCGCGUGCAGGAAGAAGGCUUUCUGAGUUGUAAACUGCUUUUGCCAGGGGAUAAAAUACGGAUGCGUCCGGAAUUGAAGGUACCUGGUGAAUAAGCCACGGCUAACUACGUGCCAGCAGCCGCGGUAAUACGUAGGUGGCAAGCGUUGUCCGGAUUUAUUGGGUUUAAAGGUGCGUAGGCGGUUCUCUAAGUCAGUGGUGAAAUACGGCAGCUCAACUGUCGAGGUGCCAUUGAUACUGGAGGACUUGAGUACUGAUGAGGUAGGCGGAAUGGACGGUGUAGCGGUGAAAUGCUUAGAUAUCGUCCAGAACACCGAUAGCGAAGGCAGCUUACUAAGGAGUAACUGACGCUGAGGCACGAAAGUGUGGGGAUCAAACAGGAUUAGAUACCCUGGUAGUCCACACUGUAAACGAUGAUUACUCGAUGUUGGCGAUAUACAGCC